Molecule: ribosomal RNA, 484 nt
Filed under: uncultured bacterium
Lineage: Bacteria
Description: bacterial SSU rRNA
Rfam family: Bacterial small subunit ribosomal RNA
Source: RNAcentral
GACGAACGCUGGCGGCGUGCUUAACACAUGCAAGUCAAGGGGGCCCGCAAGGGUAACCGGCGAACGGGUGCGUAACACGUGAGCAAUCUGCCUAGAUGUGGGGGAUAGCCGGCCCAACGGCCGGGUAAUACCGCAUACGCUCGUCGACUGGCAUCAGUUGACGAGGAAACUUUCGAGGCAUCUAGAGGAGCUCGCGGCCUAUCAGCUAGUUGGUGGGGUAACGGCCUACCAAGGCGGUGACGGGUAGCUGGUCUGAGAGGAUGGCCAGCCACAUUGGGACUGAGAUACGGCCCAGACUCCUACGGGAGGCAGCAGUGGGGAAUAUUGCGCAAUGGUCGAAAGGCUGACGCAGCGACGCCGCGUGGGGGGAUGAAGCAUUCGGUGUGUAAACCCCUGUUGCUCGGGACGAACAAGCCUUUUCGAGGGCUCUGACGGUACCGAGUGAGGAAGCACCGGCUAACUCCGUGCCAGCAGCCGCGGUAAU